RNAcentral lists this ribosomal RNA (484 nucleotides) under uncultured bacterium. RNAcentral's name for it is "partial 16S ribosomal RNA". It matches the Rfam family "Bacterial small subunit ribosomal RNA", at positions 28 to 507 of the family's 1533-position model. The record is from RNAcentral.
AUUGAACGCUGGCGGCAUGCUUUACACAUGCAAGUCGAACGGCAGCGCGGGCUUCGGCCUGGCGGCGAGUGGCGAACGGGUGAGUAAUGCAUCGGAACGUGCCCAGUAGUGGGGGAUAGCCCGGCGAAAGCCGGAUUAAUACCGCAUACGACCUGAGGGUGAAAGCGGGGGACCGAAAGGCCUCGCGCUAUUGGAGCGGCCGAUGUCGGAUUAGCUAGUUGGUGGGGUAAAGGCUUACCAAGGCGACGAUCCGUAGCUGGUCUGAGGGGACGACCAGCCACACUGGGACUGAGACACGGCCCAGACUCCUACGGGAGGCAGCAGUGGGGAAUUUUGGACAAUGGGGGCAACCCUGGUCCAGCCAUGCCGCGUGCGGGAAGAAGGCCUUCGGGUUGUAAACCGCUUUUGUUCGGGAAGAAAUCCUCUGGGCUAAUACCCCGGGGGGAUGACGGUACCGGAAGAAUAAGCACCGGCUAACUACGUG